This 410-nucleotide ribosomal RNA is filed under the name uncultured soil bacterium. Its description in RNAcentral is "bacterial SSU rRNA". It matches the Rfam family "Bacterial small subunit ribosomal RNA", at positions 26 to 446 of the family's 1533-position model. The record is from RNAcentral.
AGAACGAACGCUGGCGGCAUGCCUAAUACAUGCAAGUCGAACGAACACUUCGGUGUUAGUGGCGCACGGGUGCGUAGCGCGUGGGAAUCUGCCCUUGGGUUCGGAAUAACAGUUGGAAACGACUGCUAAUACCGGAUGAUGACGAAAGUCCAAAGAUUUAUCGCCCAGGGAUGAGCCCGCGUAGGAUUAGCUAGUUGGUGAGGUAAAGGCUCACCAAGGCGACGAUCCUUAGCUGGUCUGAGAGGAUGAUCAGCCACACGUGGGACUGAAGACACGGCCCAGACUCCGUACGGGAGGCAGCAGGUAGGGAAUAGUUGGAACAAGUGGGCGACAAGCCGUAGACUACCAGACCAAUCGGCCGCCGUGAGUGAUGAAGGUCCGUUAGGGUAGUAACGCCUUCGUUUACCGAG